RNAcentral lists this ribosomal RNA (109 nucleotides) under Microcebus murinus (gray mouse lemur). The record is from RNAcentral. Lineage: Eukaryota; Metazoa; Chordata; Mammalia; Primates; Cheirogaleidae.
AUCUACGGCCACACCACCCUGAACGUGCCCAAUCUCAUCUGAUCUUGGAAUCUAAGCAGGGUCAGGCCUGGUUAGUACUUGGAAGGGAGAAAAUCUGAUCUGAUGGAUA